This 496-nucleotide ribosomal RNA is filed under the name uncultured bacterium. RNAcentral describes it as "partial 16S ribosomal RNA". It matches the Rfam family "Bacterial small subunit ribosomal RNA", at positions 28 to 507 of the family's 1533-position model. The record is from RNAcentral.
GAUGAACGCUGGCGGCGUGCCUAAUACAUGCAAGUCGAGCGAACGGACGAGAAGCUUGCUUCUCUGAUGUUAGCGGCGGACGGGUGAGUAACACGUGGAUAACCUACCUAUAAGAUUGGGAUAACUUCGGGAAACCGGAGCUAAUACCGGAUAAUAUUUUGAACCGCAUGGUUCAAAAGUGAAAGACGGUCUUGCUGUCACUUAUAGAUGGAUCCGCGCUGCAUUAGCUAGUUGGUAAGGUAACGGCUUACCAAGGCAACGAUGCAUAGCCGACCUGAGAGGGUGAUGGGCCCCACUGGAGAUGGGGCCGGGGCCGAAACCCUGCGGGAGGCACAGGUGGGAAUUCUUCCGCAUGGGGCGAAAGCCUGACGGAGCAACGCGGCGUGAGGGUGAAAGGUCUUCGGCUCGUAAAACUCUGUUAUUGGGGAAGACCAAAUUUGUAAGAACCGGGACCAUUUUGACGGUAACCUAAUAAGAAGCCCCGGCCAACUUCGUG